GAUGAACGCUGGCGGCGUGCCUAAUACAUGCAAGUCGAGCGAACGGACGAGAAGCUUGCUCCUCUGACGUUAGCGGCGGACGGGUGAGUAACACGUGGAUAACCUACCUAUAAGACUGGGAUAACUUCGGGAAACCGGAGCUAAUACCGGAUAAUAUCUUGAACCGCAUGGUUCAAUAGUGAAAGACGGUUUUGCUGUCACUUAUAGAUGGAUCCGCGCUGCAUUAGCUAGUUGGUAAGGUAACGGCUUACCAAGGCAACGAUGCAUAGCCGACCUGAGAGGGUGAUCGGCCACACUGGAACUGAGACACGGUCCAGACUCCUACGGGAGGCAGCAGUAGGGAAUCUUCCGCAAUGGGCGAAAGCCUGACGGAGCAACGCCGCGUGAGUGAUGAAGGUCUUCGGAUCGUAAAACUCUGUUAUUAGGGAAGAACAUAUGUGUAAGUAACUGUGCACGUCUUGACGGUACCUAAUCAGAAAGCCACGGCUAACUACGUG
This 497-nucleotide ribosomal RNA is filed under the name uncultured bacterium. RNAcentral's name for it is "partial 16S ribosomal RNA". It matches the Rfam family "Bacterial small subunit ribosomal RNA", at positions 28 to 507 of the family's 1533-position model. The record is from RNAcentral.